CGUAGGCAGCAAGCGUUGUUCGGAAUUACUGGGCGUAAAGAGUGUGUAGGCGGUGUGCUAAGUUCGGUGUGAAAUCUCCCGGCUCAACUGGGAGGGUGCGCCGGAAACUGGCAUGGCUGGAGCGUGGGAGAGGAAAGCGGAAUUCCUGGUGUAGCGGUGAAAUGCGUAGAGAUCAGGAGGAACACCAGCGGUGUAGACGGCUUUCUGGACCAUAGCUGACGCUGAGACACGAAAGCGUGGGUAGCAAACAGGAUUAGAUACCCUGGUAGUCCACGCCCUAAACGAUGCAUACUUGGUGUCGGCCCUUCAGUGGGUCGGUGCCGGAGCUAACGCGUUAAGUAUGCCGCCUGGGGAGUACGGUCGCAAGGCUG
This 371-nucleotide ribosomal RNA is filed under the name uncultured organism. RNAcentral describes it as "bacterial SSU rRNA". It matches the Rfam family "Bacterial small subunit ribosomal RNA", at positions 526 to 896 of the family's 1533-position model. The record is from RNAcentral.